Molecule: non-coding RNA, 1298 nt
Organism: Lonchura striata (white-rumped munia)
Lineage: Eukaryota; Metazoa; Chordata; Aves; Passeriformes; Estrildidae
Source: RefSeq, a predicted model, not a curated record
AUUUAUUUCUUCCUGUUGGCUGAAAAUCAACAUGACAGAAGAUACAAAAGGGCUAAGACAUCAAUAUUUGGUAUAUGGAAGGGAUAAUCAUGUGCUAGAACCCUAAGCUGAACUGCAGUGAAUUAUUGAACAAGUGUUUUGUUGGAUGAUGGAAUAUUACCUGCAAAGCAGUGCUCGUCUCCUAGAGGCACCUCCAGAGCCUUUUGCAGAAAGGCUUGGGAAAGUUGUCUGAAGAUCUCUACGGCCAGGGAGCUGCUGCCACAUGGCCCUCUUAGGUCUAUCACUUUGUUUUCCAGCGCUAACUUCCUCAGAAAAAUGGACAGAAUAGAAGAACUGUAACAUUACCAAUAUUUUUCAUUAUUUUAUUACAAGAUUUUGAAGCUGUAAGUAUCAAAUAUCAUUAAAUACUUGGCACUUCUGGAUCAAUUCCUUGGCUAGUUCAAUUCAUUUUAGAGACAGGAAAAUUUUUCACAGUGAAGGCAGCCAUUUUAUCAACUUUCUGUGUCAGUUUUAUUCUAGGCUUUUUUUGUUGAGGAUUUCAAGUAUAUUUUAUUUAUUAGAAAUAACAGGGCCAGAGAUACAUCCCUUCAGUUUAAAAUCCUAGAAGAUGAUUUUGGUUAUGAUUCAGUUUUUAAACUGAAAUUGAAGAAGAUAAAUAGCUGUAUAUAUUCCUGAACCGGGUCUCAGUUAUCUGUAGGAUAGCUCCAGCAUGCUCUGAAGGUGUGACCUGGAGUGAACAGUACUUUAAACAAAAGUCUUUAGGCUGUGCAAUUAGCCAGUCAGUACAAUCCUCUCCGUGGCUGUGCAUCUCUUCGUGCCAGGAGGUUUCCUGACACAUGUCCUGGUGAGCUCUCCCUUACUGCAGCACGUACUUGACCAUGAAGUUACUAAGACAAAACAUCACACAAUUCUAAGUUUGCUGUGCCAUGAACUAGGUAGCUUGUUUGCAGAAAUAUUAAUGGAUAUAAAUACAGUGAAUAGUAAUCUGUAGUUUUCUGUCAAUAUUCUAUCUUCUGUGCUCCAGAAAAAACACAACACAGUAUUUCAUUUACUUUGAAGUUAUUUGAAGCUUAGAUGAUCAAAGUCUGUCAUAUUAGAGAAGAAAUUUUUCUUCUUACAUAUUUUAAAUUAAAUGCAACAAUACAGAGCUGUACACAUACCUAGUAAUUGUAAAUAUUUGCCAAGUUUUAAAAAAAACACCGACAGAAAAAUUAAAAAAGUGACAUGAAAAAGAAAAUAAUAGAUCAGUAUUCUGUUCUUAUUAGUUGUAGAAAGAUUUCCUAAGUUAAUAAACCUGA